UGGUUGUCGUCAGCUCGUGUCGUGAGAUGUUGGGUUAAGUCCCGCAACGAGCGCAACCCCUACGUUUAGUUGCUAACGCGUGAAGGCGAGCACUCUAGACGAACUGCCGUUGACAAAACGGAGGAAGGUGGGGAUGACGUCAAAUCAUCAUGCCCCUUAUGUUCUGGGCUACACACGUGCUACAAUGGCCGGUACAGACGGACGCAAAGCCGCGAGGUGGAGCAAAUCCUAAAAAGCCGGUCUCAGUUCGGAUUGCAGGCUGCAAUUCGCCUGCAUGAAGUCGGAAUCGCUAGUAAUCGCAGGUCAGCAUACUGCGGUGAAUACGUUCCCGGGCCUU
This 337-nucleotide ribosomal RNA is filed under the name uncultured Pelotomaculum sp. Its description in RNAcentral is "bacterial SSU rRNA". It matches the Rfam family "Bacterial small subunit ribosomal RNA", at positions 1046 to 1382 of the family's 1533-position model. The record is from RNAcentral. Lineage: Bacteria; Bacillati; Bacillota; Clostridia; Eubacteriales; Desulfotomaculaceae.